Molecule: ribozyme, 334 nt
Organism: Xenopus tropicalis (tropical clawed frog)
Lineage: Eukaryota; Metazoa; Chordata; Amphibia; Anura; Pipidae
Rfam family: Nuclear RNase P
About the family: Ribonuclease P (RNase P) is a ubiquitous endoribonuclease, found in archaea, bacteria and eukarya as well as chloroplasts and mitochondria.
Source: Ensembl
GUGGUGGGAAGGUAUUUUGGGGAGACUAGUUGGCUGUUGUAGCCAAGAUUUAACCGCGGGUGACCAAUAUCCCCAGUGUGCCAUUACCCAACGGCAAUGGUCGUUCCUUUACAUGAGGAAUUUUAUGCCGUAUCAUGGAUAGUAGAAUAUUCUAUUCUGUUAAUUUACCCCAUUCUGUAUUACAGAAAAUAAAUUGGGACUGGAUUAACAAUGUUUAUCCAUAUCAGAAGGUGAAGGGUAAGAGUUGUGCCCCACAGCUGGCACAUUCAAGCCCAAUGGCUGAGAGGGAACUGCCUGUGGUUUCCCAACCCAAUUCAGACUACUCUCCCUCCAC